UCGGCUUAGAGUUUGAUCCUGGCUCAGAGUGAACGCUGGCGGCAUGCUUAACACAUGCAGGUCGCACGGAUGCUUCGGCAUUAGUGGCGGACGGGUGAGUAACGCGUAGGGAUCUAUCCACGAGUGGGGGAUAACUUUGGGAAACUGAAGCUAAUACCGCAUGAUACCUGAGGGUCAAAGGAGUGAUCCGCUUGUGGAGGAACCUGCGUUUGAUUAGCUAGCUGGUGGGGUAAAGGCCUACCAAGGCGAUGAUCAAUAGCUGGUUUGAGAGGAUGAUCAGCCACACUGGGACUGAGACACGGCCCAGACUCCUACGGGAGGCAGCAGUGGGGAAUAUUGGACAAUGGGGGCAACCCUGAUCCAGCAAUGCCGCGUGUAUGAAGAAGGUCUUCGGAUUGUAAAGUACUUUCGACAGGGACGAUGAUGACGGUACCUGUAGAAGAAGCCCCGGCUAACUUCGUGCCAGCAGCCGCGGUAAUACGAAGGGGGCUAGCGUUACUCGGAAUGACUGGGCGUAAAGGGCGCGUAGGCGGCUUAUACAGUCAGAUGUGAAAUUCCUGGGCUUAACCUGGGACCUGCAUUUGAUACGUAUAGGCUAGAGUGUGAAAGAGGAUUGUGGAAUUCCAAGUGUAGAGGUGAAAUUCGUAGAUAUUCGGAGGAACACCGGUGGCGAAGGCGGCAAUCUGGUUCACAACUGACGCUGAAGCGCGAAAGCCUGGGGAGCAAACAGGAUUAGAUACCCUGCUAGUCCACGCUGUAAACCAUG
Molecule: ribosomal RNA, 766 nt
Filed under: uncultured Commensalibacter sp.
Lineage: Bacteria; Pseudomonadati; Pseudomonadota; Alphaproteobacteria; Acetobacterales; Acetobacteraceae
Description: bacterial SSU rRNA
Rfam family: Bacterial small subunit ribosomal RNA
Source: RNAcentral